CGUGCUCAAUUCAUUGAGCCAGUGGAUGCCAAGUCUGCCUUCUGAAAGGUGAUCUCCCAAUCGAAGGACGUCGGUGUGAAAAGGACCCACCAAAACCGGGAAAAAAAAGGACUGACAGCCGAUUCGUGUGCAUCGUAGAUUACACAGUUGCUUCUUCUUCAGUCAUCAUGAAGGCUAUUGUGAUCUUCAUUUGUCUGUGCGCGCUGGCGGUGAGUACUACCCACGGCCUGUCCUGUGUUCCUUGCACCCCUGAGGAGUCAACUUGCCCAAGGGGCAAGUUGACAGAUUCCGACUGCCCUUACGGGGUCACCAAGGACGUCUGCGGUUGCUGUGACACCUGCGCUAAGGGCCCAGGGGAGACUUGUGGAGGCCCCUGGGGCUUAGAAGGAACAUGCGGUCCUGAAUACUCGUGCAUCUUCAACAAAACAAGGCCCGGUCUAUCAUUCCAGGCCACGGGACGAUGCGCGUAAAAGGUACGAUACGCGUCUCGUACGGGUUUGUCGAUCGACCGCCUUCUGAUACGCGUACGGAAGACGAAUCUGAGACAACCAGUGAAUCUGGAUGCUGGAGGAAUUGAUGAAGUGUUUGUAGUUGAUAUUUUUAUAUAUGUAAUUUGAUGUAAUUUGUUGUUUUAAUUCUUUCUGUUUAAGAAUCUGGUCCUAGGGAAUUAAUAACUGUUGUACUUCAGAGAUUAUUAAAAAGUGAAUGGGCGCCAAUUUUGAAUGAGAUUGUCUUGAAAUGUCAAGAGAUUUUGUUAACAGCUCGUCCGCCAUCUUGGAUUUUAGAAAAAUAAAUAAAUAUCAAGA
Molecule: long non-coding RNA, 806 nt
Organism: Macrobrachium nipponense
Lineage: Eukaryota; Metazoa; Arthropoda; Malacostraca; Decapoda; Palaemonidae
Exons: 3
Source: RefSeq, a predicted model, not a curated record